GGGGUUGACAGGCUUUCGAUAGCCUGCAGGAAACCAUUUGCUACGUGCCGGAGGCCGGCAAGGACAACCGUCAUCAACCUUGCCACAAGAACGAACGCCAACACCGUUUCUUCUUCCCGUUUCACCCUCGCAGCGUGAAACCCGAUUCUGACCCCAUUGCCGAUUAACAGGCCAGAAUCGGAAAACUUUGAAUCGGACUGGUCAGACAGUCGGACGAUGGAUUCGCCCGGCCAGCAUAUGAACAUCGUCUACAAGCCGUGCAGGUUCGCCGAACGCACCCUGUCCACGGAUGAUCUUCCCCACGCAAGUGGGGAUCAGCCGCGUCGGAUACGCACGUGACAGCAAGCAAAGGCUGACAGCAGGCUAGACCCGAGUUCGAUUCUCGGCAGCUCCACGA
RNAcentral lists this transfer-messenger RNA (397 nucleotides) under Bifidobacterium bifidum. It matches the Rfam family "transfer-messenger RNA". From Rfam's summary of the family: Bacterial tmRNA, also known as 10Sa RNA or SsrA, is named for its dual tRNA and mRNA-like properties. Its role is to liberate the mRNA from a stalled ribosome. RNAcentral also lists the same sequence under 1 other name. Lineage: Bacteria; Bacillati; Actinomycetota; Actinomycetes; Bifidobacteriales; Bifidobacteriaceae. The record is from RNAcentral.